RNAcentral lists this ribosomal RNA (572 nucleotides) under Halicephalobus sp. LD3. RNAcentral's name for it is "eukaryotic LSU rRNA". It matches the Rfam family "Eukaryotic large subunit ribosomal RNA", at positions 1599 to 2148 of the family's 3401-position model. The record is from RNAcentral. Lineage: Eukaryota; Metazoa; Nematoda; Chromadorea; Rhabditida; Panagrolaimidae. RNAcentral also lists the same sequence under 2 other names.
AGGGAAACAGGUUAAUAUUCCUGUACUUGAACCAUACGGUGCAAAUUGUUUAUACAAUUUGUAAGGGGCGGUAACGUAUAUGAAACCAUAAAUGUCAUAUAUAGUUCAGGCUAGAGAUAUCUUCUCUAGUUAAUAUAGUUUGUCCAUGGAAUAGGUUCUGCCUGAGAUAUGGAUAAAGCUAUUGAAAAGUAUCGCAGUUUUUGUGAUAUCCUGAGUGCUAUGUAUGAUCCGUGAAAAUAUGGUGAAUCCCUUAUAAUGUAUGGUAAAGCCGUACCGAAACCGCAUCAGGUUUUCAAGGUGUAUAGCCUCUGGUCGAUAGAAUAAUGUAGGUAAGGGAAGUCGGCAAAUUAGAUCCGUAACUUUGGGAAAAGAAUUGGCUCUACGGAUUGAGUAAUAGGAGUAUAUGGAAGAAGCUUAUAUUUAUAAUAAGAUCUGAGGGAUCGUAAGUGAACUUGGGUUAAUGUUAUGAAUAUUUGUUGACACUAUAUACUAUGUUGUUAACGCAACGUCCUAUUACAACGAACAAUUAACGUAGAACUGACACGGACUCGGGGAAUCCGACUGUCUAAUUA